Molecule: unclassified non-coding RNA, 225 nt
Filed under: Hevea brasiliensis (rubber tree)
Lineage: Eukaryota; Viridiplantae; Streptophyta; Magnoliopsida; Malpighiales; Euphorbiaceae
Source: RNAcentral
ACAGAACCACAGAACUACCGACUACAAACAUCAAGGGCAUAGUCACAAAACAUCUCAUUACCAUCUUAGCUAACUGGACUAUCUUACAAAUGGGGGUAAUAUGAAGUACAAUAUGAUAAACAACCAGUCACCAGAAUAACAGAAUCUGCUUCUGAUGUAUGAACAACUCCCCACUCUGGUAACGAUCUCAUCUUUUUCCAACUGAUUUUUCUCCUACUCUUCCAG